AUUGAACGCUGGCGGCAGGCCUAACACAUGCAAGUCGAGCGGAUGAAGGGAGCUUGCUCCUGGAUUCAGCGGCGGACGGGUGAGUAAUGCCUAGGAAUCUGCCUGGUAGUGGGGGAUAACGUCCGGAAACGGGCGCUAAUACCGCAUACGUCCUGAGGGAGAAAGUGGGGGAUCUUCGGACCUCACGCUAUCAGAUGAGCCUAGGUCGGAUUAGCUAGUUGGUGGGGUAAAGGCCUACCAAGGCGACGAUCCGUAACUGGUCUGAGAGGAUGAUCAGUCACACUGGAACUGAGACACGGUCCAGACUCCUACGGGAGGCAGCAGUGGGGAAUAUUGGACGAUGGGCGAAAGCCUGAUCCAGCCAUGCCGCGUGUGUGAAGAAGGUCUUCGGAUUGUAAAGCACUUUAAGUUGGGAGGAAGGGCAGUAAGUUAAUACCUUGCUGUUUUGACGUUACCAACAGAAUAAGCACCGGCUAACUUCG
This 482-nucleotide ribosomal RNA is filed under the name uncultured bacterium. RNAcentral's name for it is "partial 16S ribosomal RNA". It matches the Rfam family "Bacterial small subunit ribosomal RNA", at positions 30 to 505 of the family's 1533-position model. The record is from RNAcentral.